AAAACGACUCUCGGCAACGGAUAUCUAGGCUCUCGCAUCGAUGAAGAACGUAGCGAAAUGCGAUACUUGGUGUGAAUUGCAGAAUCCCGCGAAUCAUCAAGUUUUUGAACGCAAGUUGCGCCCGAAGCCAUUCGGCCGAGGGCACGUCUGCCUGGGUGUCACGC
RNAcentral lists this ribosomal RNA (164 nucleotides) under Quercus ilex. Its description in RNAcentral is "5.8S ribosomal RNA". It matches the Rfam family "5.8S ribosomal RNA". From Rfam's summary of the family: 5.8S ribosomal RNA (5.8S rRNA) is a component of the large subunit of the eukaryotic ribosome. Lineage: Eukaryota; Viridiplantae; Streptophyta; Magnoliopsida; Fagales; Fagaceae. The record is from RNAcentral.